GGGCGAGUGGUGGAACGGCAGACACGUACGCUUCAGAAGCGUAUGAGGUAACUCGUGGGGGUUCGAAUCCCCCCUCGCCCA
RNAcentral lists this transfer RNA (81 nucleotides) under Candidatus Kaiserbacteria bacterium RIFCSPLOWO2_01_FULL_54_13. RNAcentral describes it as "tRNA-Leu". It matches the Rfam family "tRNA". From Rfam's summary of the family: Transfer RNA (tRNA) molecules are approximately 80 nucleotides in length. Their secondary structure includes four short double-helical elements and three loops (D, anti-codon, and T loops). Lineage: Bacteria; Candidatus Kaiseribacteriota. The record is from RNAcentral.